GAUCGCAGCGAUGACUUGGUGAAAUCCAAGCUCAACAGACCGGAAUGCAGGAUUUUCUCUUGCGAGAAAAUUUUGCGGGUC
Molecule: non-coding RNA, 81 nt
Organism: Corylus avellana
Lineage: Eukaryota; Viridiplantae; Streptophyta; Magnoliopsida; Fagales; Betulaceae
Source: RefSeq, a predicted model, not a curated record